AUGGCGACCGCAGCGCCGUCGAAGAAGGCGGCGAACCGGCUGGUGGUGGAGGAGACCGCCACCAACGACGACAACUCCGUGUGCACCCUUCACCCAGACACCAUGGAGAAGCUCUCCAUAUUCAAGGGCGACAUCGUGAUGCUCAAGGGCAAGCGCAGUCAGCUAGAUGGAAAUGCCGUGAUGGCUUACACUAGUAUUGCUCAGUUUAUAUACAUCAAGUACAGGUUUAGUUACAGCUCAAGCGAUGGUGGAUAA
RNAcentral lists this ribosomal RNA (255 nucleotides) under Triticum aestivum (bread wheat). Its description in RNAcentral is "partial small subunit ribosomal RNA". Lineage: Eukaryota; Viridiplantae; Streptophyta; Magnoliopsida; Poales; Poaceae. The record is from RNAcentral.